Unclassified non-coding RNA from Chelonoidis abingdonii (Abingdon island giant tortoise), 173 nucleotides. NCBI's taxonomy places the organism in Eukaryota, Metazoa, Chordata, Testudines, Testudinidae. The record is from Ensembl.
AUGCCUGAUACCCUGGAUUCUUCUAUGUAGCCAUAAAGCAGGUUCCGUUCAAGCAUCGUCUGUACAGGUUUCCCCACAUUGCCCUAAUGGUGGACCUCAACCAUUACCUGGAGAAACCACCUAUGGGAUUAAGAAGACAGCUCAGGCUCCUUACCCAGCAGUCUUCGGCCUUC